GAUGAACGCUGGCGGCGUGCCUAAUACAUGCAAGUCGAGCGAACAGAUGAGGAGCUUGCUCCUCUGACGUUAGCGGCGGACGGGUGAGUAACAUGUGGAUAACCUACCUAUAAGACUGGGAUAACUUCGUGAAACCGGAGCUAAUACCGGAUAAUAUAUUGAACCGCAUGGUUCAAUAGUGAAAGACGGUUUUGCUGUCACUUAUAGAUGGUUCGAGGCCGCAUUAGCUAGUUGGUAAGGUAACGGCUUACCAAGGCAACGAUGAGUAGCCGACCUGAGAGGGGGAUCGGCCACACUGGAACUGAGACACGGUCCAGACUCCUACGGGAGGCAGCAGUAGGGAAUCUUCGGCAAUGGGCGAAAGCCUGACGGAGCAACGCCGCGUGAGUGAUGAAGGUCUUCGGAUCGUAAAACACUGUUAUUAGGGAAGAACAAAUGUGGAAGUAAAUAUGCACGUCUUGACGGUACCGAAUGAGAAAGCCACGGCUAACUACGUG
Molecule: ribosomal RNA, 497 nt
Filed under: uncultured bacterium
Lineage: Bacteria
Description: partial 16S ribosomal RNA
Rfam family: Bacterial small subunit ribosomal RNA
Source: RNAcentral